CAUUUUGAGGGUUUGAUCCUAGCUCAGGGUGAACGCUGGCGGUGUGCCUAACACAUGCAAGUCGUGCGACGAACUCAGGGAAUUUUGCGCAAGCGGAAUUUCCUGGGGGAAAGCGGCGGAUGGGUGCGUAACACCUGGGUAACCUACCUUCAGGACCAGGAUAACCCGCCGAAAGGUGGGCUAAUACUGGAUAAUC
Molecule: ribosomal RNA, 196 nt
Filed under: Candidatus Omnitrophota bacterium
Lineage: Bacteria; Pseudomonadati; Candidatus Omnitrophota
Description: partial 16S ribosomal RNA
Rfam family: Bacterial small subunit ribosomal RNA
Source: RNAcentral